Molecule: long non-coding RNA, 262 nt
Filed under: Gallus gallus (chicken)
Lineage: Eukaryota; Metazoa; Chordata; Aves; Galliformes; Phasianidae
Source: RNAcentral
CUGGCGUCUGGAGCAGCACGGCAAUUUGGAGUUAUCUUGAAUAUAGCCAAAAAGUGGAUCAUUUAUGGCGUUCCAUAUCAUAAAUACAACCUGUGCUUGAUGAAAUGCUACUUCUGAAAUUCUGUAUCUGUUUAGGAAAAGCUUGACGUAGUAGAAAUUAAAGACACUGUUCAUCAUUCCAGCACCUAACGUGGUCAUGGAGUACGCCAGGGCAUUGGGGUGGAUUUCCAAAGCCAACUUCAUCUUCCCAACUGCGUGAGCC